UACGUAGGGUGCGAGCGUUGUCCGGAAUUAUUGGGCGUAAAGGGCUCGUAGGCGGUCUGUUGCGUCAGGAGUGAAAAACUCGGGGCUUAACCCCCGAGCCUGCUUCUGAUACGGGCAGACUAGAGGUAUGCAGGGGAGAAUGGAAUUCCCGGUGUAGCGGUGAAAUGCGCAGAUAUCGGGAGGAACACCGAUGGCGAAGGCGAAUCUCUGGACAGUUACUGACACUGAGGCACGAAAGCGUGGGGAGCAAGACGG
This 255-nucleotide ribosomal RNA is filed under the name uncultured bacterium. RNAcentral describes it as "partial 16S ribosomal RNA". It matches the Rfam family "Bacterial small subunit ribosomal RNA", at positions 524 to 776 of the family's 1533-position model. The record is from RNAcentral.